RNAcentral lists this ribosomal RNA (433 nucleotides) under uncultured bacterium. RNAcentral's name for it is "partial 16S ribosomal RNA". It matches the Rfam family "Bacterial small subunit ribosomal RNA", at positions 29 to 507 of the family's 1533-position model. The record is from RNAcentral.
AACGAACGCUGGCGGCAGGCCUAACACAUGCAAGUCGAGCGAGACCUUCGGGUCUAGCGGCGGACGGGGGAGUAACGCGUGGGAACGUGCCCUUUUCUACGGAAUAGCCUCGGGAAACUGAGCGUAAUACCGUAUACGCCCUUUGGGGGAAAGAUUUAUCGGCGAAGGAUCGGCCCGCGUUGGAUUAGGUAGUUGGUGGGGUAAUGGCCUACCAAGCCUACGAUCCAUAGCUGGUUUGAGAGGAUGAUCAGCCACACUGGGACUGAGACACGGCCCAGACUCCUACGGGAGGCAGCAGUGGGGAAUCUUAGACAAUGGGGGCAACCCUGAUCCAGCCAUGCCGCGUGAGUGAUGAAGGCCUUAGGGUUGUAAAGCUCUUUCAGCUGGGAAGAUAAUGACGGUACCAGCAGAAGAAGCCCCGGCUAACUCCGUG